GGAGGGUGCAAGCGUUGUUCGGAAUUACUGGGCGUAAAGCGCGUGUAGGCGGCCUCUUAUGUCAGGUGUGAAAGCCCUGGGCCCAACCCAGGAAGUGCGCCUGAAACUGAGAGGCUUGAGUACGAGAGAGGAGGACGGAAUUCCCAGUGUAGAGGUGAAAUUCGUAGAUAUUGGGAAGAACACCGGUGGCGAAAGCGGUUCUCUAGAUCGAUACUGACGCUAAGACGCGAAAGCGUGGGGAGCAAACAGGAUUAGAUACCCUGGUAGUCCACGCCGUAAACGAUGGAUACUAGUUGUUGCGAGCUUUUAAAACUCGCAGUGACGACGCUAACGCAUUAAGUAUCCCGCCUGGGAAGUACGGCCGCAAGGUUA
This 372-nucleotide ribosomal RNA is filed under the name uncultured organism. RNAcentral's name for it is "partial 16S ribosomal RNA". It matches the Rfam family "Bacterial small subunit ribosomal RNA", at positions 527 to 896 of the family's 1533-position model. The record is from RNAcentral.